This 750-nucleotide ribosomal RNA is filed under the name Ricinella speciosa. RNAcentral's name for it is "partial 16S ribosomal RNA". It matches the Rfam family "Bacterial large subunit ribosomal RNA", at positions 1817 to 2925 of the family's 2925-position model. Lineage: Eukaryota; Metazoa; Mollusca; Gastropoda; Neogastropoda; Muricidae. The record is from RNAcentral.
GGCUCCUCGCUCACCCACUUAUGAGGAGUCGGACCUGCUCAGUGAAUCAUUUCAACAGCCGCGGUACUCUGACCGUGCAAAGGUAGCAUAAUCAUUUGCCUUAUAAUUGAAGGCUAGUAUGAAUGGUUUGACGAGAAUAAAGCUGUCUCUUUCUGACGAAAUAUAAUUUUAUUUAUAGGUGAAGAAGCCUAUAUCCUGCUGAAAGACAAGAAGACCCUGUCGAGCUUGAAACAAUUUAGUAAGCUGGUAACAUACUUGUAAAAGAGCUAAAUUGCUAAAAAUUUUAGUUGGGGCGACUGAGGAACAGAAGAAGCUUCCUCUAUCCUUUAGAGGCUUACCGGCAUUGAUCCAGCAUCUUUGAUUAAAGGAAUUAGUUACCGCAGGGAUAACAGCAUAAUCUUCUUUGAGAGCCCUCAUCGAAAAGGAGGUUUGUGACCUCGAUGUUGGACCAGAAUCUCCGAAAGAUGCAGUCGUCUUUAAGGGUUGGUCUGUUCGACCAUUAAAAUUCUACGUGAUCUGAGUUCAGACCGGCGUGAGCCAGGUCAGUUUCUAUCUUCAGCCAAUAAAAUAGCUUCAGUACGAAAGGACCAAGUUAUUGUAAAGGUUUACUUGUACUGAUCAAAUCUAAAAAACACUUAAACUCGUAGCUUAAUCAAAUUAGCAAAGAUUAAUGCAAUUGACUUAGGAUCAAUAGACAUAGGUGGAAGUCCUUUAUUUGAUAAUGUUCGUAACAUAGAGGUGGCAGAAUAA